CCUACGGGUGGCAGCAGUGAGGAAUAUUGGUCAAUGGGCGGAAGCCUGAACCAGCCAAGUCGCGUGCAGGAUGACGGCCCUACGGGUUGUAAACUGCUUUUAUACGGGAAUAACGCGCCUUACGUGUAGUGCUUUGCAUGUACCCUAUGAAGAAGGAUCGGCUAACUCCGUGCCAGCAGCCGCGGUAAUACGGAAGGUCCGGGCGUUAUCCGGAUUUAUUGGGUUUAAAGGGUGCGCAGGCGGGAGGUCAAGCUUGCGGUGAAAGUUCCGGGGUCAACCCGGGCAAUGCAGUGGAAACGGGCGUUCUUGAGUGCGCGAGAAGUAGGCGGAAUGCGUGGUGUAGCGGUGAAAUGCAUAGAUAUGACGAAGAACCCCGAUUGCGAAGGCAGCAUGCUGGAGCGGAACUGACGCUGAUGCACGAAAGCGCGGGUAUCGAACAGGAUUAGAUACCCGGGUAGUC
RNAcentral lists this ribosomal RNA (460 nucleotides) under uncultured bacterium. RNAcentral's name for it is "partial 16S ribosomal RNA". It matches the Rfam family "Bacterial small subunit ribosomal RNA", at positions 338 to 795 of the family's 1533-position model. The record is from RNAcentral.